This is a non-coding RNA of Danio rerio (zebrafish), 80 nucleotides long. RefSeq annotates it as microRNA 24-1. NCBI's taxonomy places the organism in Eukaryota, Metazoa, Chordata, Actinopteri, Cypriniformes, Danionidae. The record is from RefSeq and is marked provisional.
ACCUGAGCUCCGGUGCCUUCUGAGCUGAUAUCAGUUGUAGUAAAUCACUGGCUCAGUUCAGCAGGAACAGGAGUGUGGCC